RNAcentral lists this ribosomal RNA (253 nucleotides) under uncultured bacterium. RNAcentral describes it as "partial 16S ribosomal RNA". It matches the Rfam family "Bacterial small subunit ribosomal RNA", at positions 524 to 777 of the family's 1533-position model. The record is from RNAcentral.
UACGUAGGGGGCAAGCGUUGUCCGGAUUUAUUGGGCGUAAAGAGCGUGUAGGCGGCCGUACAGGUCAGCUGUGAAAACUCGAGGCUCAACCUCGAGACGUCGGUUGAAACCGUACGGCUAGAGUCCGGAAGAGGAGAGUGGAAUUCCCGGUGUAGCGGUGAAAUGCGCAGAUAUCGGGAAGAACACCCGUGGCGAAGGCGGCUCUCUGGGACGGUACUGACGCUGAGACGCGAAAGCGUGGGAGCGAACGAGG